This 897-nucleotide ribosomal RNA is filed under the name uncultured bacterium. RNAcentral's name for it is "bacterial SSU rRNA". It matches the Rfam family "Bacterial small subunit ribosomal RNA", at positions 8 to 916 of the family's 1533-position model. The record is from RNAcentral.
AGAGUUUGAUCAUGGCUCAGAAUGAACGUUGGCGGUGCGCCUUAUGCAUGCAAGUCGAACGGUCGAGCGCGUAACUUGUUAUGUGCUCGGUAGUGGCGAACGGCUGAGUAACGCGUAAGUAACCUGCCUUGGAGUGGGAAAGAACUUGCCGAAAGGCAAGCUAAUGUCCCAUGUGGUAACGAAGCAAAUGCUUUGUUAUUAAAGCCUUAGGGUGCUCGGAGAGGGGCUUGCGUCUGAUUAGCUAGUUGGUAGGGUAAUGGCCUACCAAGGCGAUGAUCGGUAGCUGGUCUGAGAGGAUGGUCAGCCAGAUGGGGACUGGGAUACGGCCCCAACUCCUACGGGAGGCAGCAGCAAGGAAUCUUGGGCAAUGAGCGAAAGCUUGACCCAACGACACCGCGUGAGGGAUGAAGGCCUUCGGGUUGUAAACCUCUCUUCUUGGGGAAGAAUUCUGACGGUACCCAAGGAAUAAGCCUCGGCUAACUACGUGCCGGCAGCCGCGGUAAUACGUAGGAGGCGAACGUUAUUCGGAUUUACUGGGCGUAAAGGGAGCGUAGGCGGUUCCUUAAGUCAGAUGUGAAAUCUUCUGACUUAAUCAGAAGGGGUCAUUUGAUACUGAGGGACUUGAGAACAGCAGAGGGAAGUGGAAUCCCCAGUGUAGCGGUGAAAUGCGUAGAUAUUGGGGAGAACACCAGUGGCGAAGGCGAUUUUCCAGGUUGUUUCUGACGCUGAGGCUCGAAAGCGUGGGGAGCGAAGCGGAUUAGAUACCCGCGUAGUCCACGCCCUAAACGGUGGACACUAGACAUGGGAGGUAUCGACCCUUUCUGUGUCGAAGCUAACGCCUUAAGUGUCCCGCCUGGGGAGUACGGCCGCAAGGCUAAAACUCAAAUGAAUUGACGG